Molecule: ribosomal RNA, 468 nt
Filed under: uncultured bacterium
Lineage: Bacteria
Description: partial 16S ribosomal RNA
Rfam family: Bacterial small subunit ribosomal RNA
Source: RNAcentral
GACGAACGCUGGCGGCGUGCUUAACACAUGCAAGUCGAACGGAAAGGCCCUGCUUUUGUGGGGUGCUCGAGUGGCGAACGGGUGAGUAACACGUGAGUAACCUGCCCUUGACUUUGGGAUAACUUCAGGAAACUGGGGCUAAUACCGGAUAGGAGCUCCUGCUGCAUGGUGGGGGUUGGAAAGUUUCGGCGGUUGGGGAUGGACUCGCGGCUUAUCAGCUUGUUGGUGGGGUAGUGGCUUACCAAGGCUUUGACGGGUAGCCGGCCUGAGAGGGUGACCGGCCACAUUGGGACUGAGAUACGGCCCAGCCUCCUACGGGAGGCAGCGGUGGAGAAUAGUACACAAUGGGCGGGAGCCUGAUGCAGCAACGCCGCGUGCGGGAAGACGGCCAUCGGGUUGUAAACCGCUUUCGCCUGUGACGAAGCGUGAGUGACGGUAAUGGGUAAAGAAGCACCGGCUAACUACGUG